ACAAGCUCUCAUCCGAGAGUAAAGAGAAAAAGAAAAGGGUGGGUGAGAGAAAUCACAUCCGGGGAGGAUGGAUGAAAGUAAUCUCAUCCGGGAGAGGGUGGAAGAGAGCAAGAAAAGGAGAGAAAAAUAGAGAGAAAGAUAGUUCAAAUAAAUAUGUGUUUUAUUUGGGUUUCAUAACAUAGUUAUAUUGUGGUGAAAUAAUUUGGGUUUAUACUCAAAUUAAAAUUUCUUUGUAUUCUCCUAGUGAAUUUUUCGGAGAUGGAUGAUUUUUAUCUCUUAGUUUUGGAGAAUUUUUAACUUAAAAUCUUAGUGUCUUGUGCUUUGAUAUUUUAUCUCAUUAUUUCCUGUACUGAUU
Molecule: long non-coding RNA, 355 nt
Filed under: Panax ginseng (ginseng)
Lineage: Eukaryota; Viridiplantae; Streptophyta; Magnoliopsida; Apiales; Araliaceae
Description: long non-coding RNA (PGIN_LNC014070)
Source: RNAcentral